UUGAGAGACUGAUCGGCCACAUUGGGACUGAGACACGGCCCAAACUCCUACGGGAGGCAGCAGUAGGGAAUCUUCCACAAUGGGCGAAAGCCUGAUGGAGCAACGCCGCGUGAGUGAAGAAGGUUUUCGGAUCGUAAAGCUCUGUUGUUGGUGAAGAAGGAUAGAGGUAGUAACUGGCCCCUAUUUGACGGUAAUCAACCAGAAAGUCACGGCUAACUACGUGCCAGCAGCCGCGGUAAUACGUAGGUGGCAAGCGUUGUCCGGAUUUAUUGGGCGUAAAGCGAGCGCAGGCGGAAAGAUAAGUCUGAUGUGAAAGCCCCCGGCUUAACCGAGGAAUUGCAUCGGAAACUGUGUUUCUUGAGUGCAGAAGAGGAGAGUGGAACUCCAUGUGUAGCGGUGGAAUGCGUAGAUAUAUGGAAGAACACCAGUGGCGAAGGCGGCUCUCUGGUCUGUAACUGACGCUGAGGCUCGAAAGCAUGGGUAGCGAACAGGAUUAGAUACCCUGGUAGUCCAUGCCGUAAACGAUGAGUGAUAAGUGUUGGGA
This 544-nucleotide ribosomal RNA is filed under the name uncultured bacterium. RNAcentral describes it as "bacterial SSU rRNA". It matches the Rfam family "Bacterial small subunit ribosomal RNA", at positions 292 to 828 of the family's 1533-position model. The record is from RNAcentral.